AGGCUCACUUCAGCAACACAUGUGCUAAAAUUGGAAGGAUACAGAGAUUAGCGCGGCCCUUGCGCAAGGAUGACAUGCAAAUUCAUGGAAUGUUUGUCAUUGUU
Molecule: small nuclear RNA, 104 nt
Filed under: Chinchilla lanigera (long-tailed chinchilla)
Lineage: Eukaryota; Metazoa; Chordata; Mammalia; Rodentia; Chinchillidae
Source: RNAcentral